CUUGGCUGAAAUCCCAUCUACUGAAAUACUGGCACCGCUACAAAAUAACCCAAGAUUCUUUAGAACUAAGAGAAAAAAAUCAGGUUUGUCCAUGGAAGCACACGAAUGGCAGGACAGGAAGUAAAUCUUUGUUCCUCGUGAAAUGGGCUUUAAAACAGCCCAGAGCAAUGGGCUGGCCCAGAACUUGGGAGUCUCAAGUUUUCAUUCUCACCCACUGCGGAGUCUUCCUGGCUCCCAGGACCACGGCCUCGGGGGCCCAUGUGUACUAGGAGGGGCUGCACCUGGACAGUCCCUGGGGUCCAUUCCAGUCAAACGCCCCACCGUUCCAGGCCUCCCUUUAGCCUCAACAGCAUGAGGGCUCUGAGCACUCAUCUCUUCAGAAAACUCGCCGCUGUCUUCCUCAGAUGUGUCGUCCCGUCAGAAAAAAGAGCGGCCGGUCUUCCCUGGCAUUGGCGGUCUGGAACUCAUCGCGCAGCCGGAACUGCCACUCGUCCUCGAGCUCCAGGCGGACGACCGUCUGGCGCAGUGAGCUCCGGUCCUGACAGAUGACACACAACGUCGCACCUGCGUGGACAACGGCAGAGGUGUGGGAAGGGAAAAGAGUUGACAUCCACCACGUUCCACAUCACGCAGGAGUCAUCAGAGAUCACAAUGAAAGGCCAGAUGUCCUGCGGCUUGAUUCCCAGCUCCUCCUGCCGGUUCCGCUCGAGCUCCAGGUUAUGGUAGGACAGCUCCUUGAUGAGGAAAUGAG
This 751-nucleotide long non-coding RNA is filed under the name Homo sapiens (human). RNAcentral describes it as "non-protein coding lnc-NTSR2-6:2". Lineage: Eukaryota; Metazoa; Chordata; Mammalia; Primates; Hominidae. The record is from RNAcentral.